RNAcentral lists this ribosomal RNA (309 nucleotides) under uncultured bacterium. RNAcentral's name for it is "SSU rRNA". It matches the Rfam family "Bacterial small subunit ribosomal RNA", at positions 29 to 367 of the family's 1533-position model. The record is from RNAcentral.
ACGAACGCUGGCGGCAGGCCUAACACAUGCAAGUCGAGCGCUACCUUCGGGUGGAGCGGCGGACGGGUUAGUAACGCGUGGGAAUAUACCCAGUUCUAAGGAAUAGCCACUGGAAACGGUGAGUAAUACCUUAUACGCCCUUCGGGGGAAAGAUUUAUCGGAAUUGGAUUAGCCCGCGUUAGAUUAGCUUGUUGGUGAGGUAAAGGCUCACCAAGGCGACGAUCUUUAGCUGGUCUGAGAGGACGAUCAGCCACAUUGGGACUGAGACACGGCCCAGACUCCUACGGGAGGCAGCAGUGGGAAUAUUGG